AACGAACGCUGGCGGCAGGCUUAACACAUGCAAGUCGAACGCCCCGCAAGGGGAGUGGCAGACGGGUGAGUAACGCGUGGGAAUCUACCGUACCCUACGGAAUAGCUCCGGGAAACUGGAAUCAAUACCGUAUACGCCCUACGGGGGAAAGAUUUAUCGGGGUAUGAUGAGCCCGCGUUGGAUUAGCUAGUUGGUGGGGUAAAGGCCUACCAAGGCGACGAUCCAUAGCUGGUCUGAGAGGAUGAUCAGCCACAUUGGGACUGAGACACGGCCCAAACUCCUACGGGAGGCAGCAGUGGGGAAUAUUGGACAAUGGGCGCAAGCCUGAUCCAGCCAUGCCGCGUGAGUGAUGAAGGUCUUAGGAUUGUAAAGCUCUUUCACCGAUGAAGAUAAUGACGGUAGUCGGAGAAGAAGCCCCGGCUAACUUCGUGCCAGCAGCCGCCGUAA
Molecule: ribosomal RNA, 447 nt
Filed under: uncultured bacterium
Lineage: Bacteria
Description: partial 16S ribosomal RNA
Rfam family: Bacterial small subunit ribosomal RNA
Source: RNAcentral